CCCUCCGUGAAUGAGUUUAACCAGGGGCAACUAUGACAGAUGUCGCCCCAGCGGCCAGGGGAAGAGUGGGCUGGAACUGGAUGGAGUCGCAAUGCCCUCCAGCUGCAGCCAGGAUUCGCUAAGAUCCAACUUCCAAAGUUCCCAGAGUCCAAGGUCCCAGGCCCGGGCCCUCGUCUCAGUCCUGACAUAGGUCCCAAGGACUCAGAUCAGGAGGGGCAGGCCUCUGCGCCGCAUCCAUCCGGAGGAAGGGGGCGGGGUUUGCUCGCGACCUCCCCACCCGCAGCUGGGGGUCAGAAGCCGGGGCGAGAGAGGGCCCCAGGAGGUGAGACCAUCUGCAGGGGACGGGCUGUGCUGGGCAGAAGGACUGCUCCCCGUUUUUGAUGAGCUGCUAUGCUGGACGCUGGGGACACAGCAGUAAAACAGAUCCUGGCCUUGUGGCGCUCAGCACCCAGUGGGAGAGACGGACAAUAAACAAGAUAAGGCUAUUGGAGUGAUUUUCAAACCUAUUUUCUCAAAUCCUCACUCUCCAUCCCAUCAACAAAGAAAAACACUCCAAGCGUUUCCCCAUAAGCCGUAGGACCACGUCCGGUCCCUCCACCUGCUGUUUCCGAGUUCAAAAUUGAGUACACAGUGGAAUGGGGGUGUCUACGGAAACGAACCUGGAAGGCCAUCCAUCUUUUAGGACCCGGCAUGGCUGGAAGGCUUCAUGGAAGAGGAGGCAUUGCUGCUGGGGCUUGGAAGAAAGCAGAAACGUAAAAUCCAAAGUCCGAGAAGUGGGAGAGGGAGAAAGGUGUGGCAUCAGGGAAGUCAGCAGGCUGUUUGAGGAAAGUGGAAAUGGUCAGCUGUAAGGAAUGCUACAGAGAGAUUAGGAAGUUAGCAGGCACCGGGGGUGGCGUCGGAAAAGCCUCCGUCCCGGGGUCACGAGACGGGGCGGUCACACAGUCUGGAGAUGUCCUUCCCGCAGAUCGCUCAUCAUUACGAAGGCGAAAAGACACCUGUGAUGGGGAGAUCCGGUUGGUGCACUGGAGCCGAGUGGUCGAGCUUCACAUCACCAGUCAGGUGACAAAUCAGGAGCACGUGCCUCCUGGCACCAUGCACCGAGGGGGACGCGACAGCCCUCCCGAAACUGCUCAGUGUCAAAAACACGUCGAAUCUGAUUGUGAGGAAACAGCCGAUCGUGGGAGGUUCUAGAAGAUACCUGGCCCAGACCCCUGAAAACCAACAGUCAUGAAACACGCAAAAAAAAGGCAGGGGAAGGUUCUAGAUGAAAAAAAGAGAUGAAGAAACAUGUCAGGAAAAUGCAACCUGUGAUCCCCCUUGGAGCCUGGAUUUGUUUCUACCUCCUUGCCCUUCCCCUCCCCCCAAAAAACAAAUCCCAACUGUAGAAGAUGCGCUCGGUGAGAAUAUAAAAUGAUGCAGCUGCGGUAGAAAACAAUACAGCAGUUCCUCAAAAAAAUAACAUAGAAUUACCAUACGAUCUAGCAUUCCAUAUCUGGGUAUAUACACAAAAGAAUUGAGAGCAGGGCCUCAAAAAUAUUUAUUGUACACUUGUGCCUACAGCAGCAUUAUUCACAACGGCCAAAAGGUGGAAAUAGCUUAAAUGGCCAUCGAUGGAUGAUGGAUGCACACAUCUGGUGUCCAGACAGUGGAAUAUUAUUCGGCCUUAAAAAAGGAGAUUCUGAUACAUGUGACAGCAUGGAGGACCCUUGAAGACACUAUGCUGAGUGAAAGGACACAGACACAGAAGGACAGAUACCAUGUGAUCCCACUCACAGGAGGUCCCCAGAGGAGUCAGAUCCAUAGGGACAGGAAGUAGAUGGUAGGGCCAGGGCUGGGGGAGGGGAGGGGAGCGAGCGUUUCAUGGGGACAGAGGGUCAGUUUGGGAAGAGAAGAACGUUCUGGAGACGGACGGUGGGGAGAAGAACGUUCUGGAGACGGGCGGUGGCAGAGCAAUGUGAAUGUGCUUAAUGCCGCUGAGCUGUGCUUGAAAAUGACUAAGACGAUAAAUUUUACAUUACUUAUAUAUUGCUACAAUAACAAAGACGUGGGACCAUGGGAAAGUGGAAUGUGGGGCACAGGUAUGAGAGGGUACUGUUGUCUCCGCAUAAACCCUCUGAGAGACAACAGUACUGUGCUUUUCUAGAAGUUUCUGAUUCUAAGCUCAUGGGAUGUAGCAAUGAAGCGCUAUGAUGCUGGACAGGAGGAGAGCCAGCAUGGUCACCGUCAGCGGCUGGGGCGCCAGGGCGAGGUCGCCUGUCGACCGUAUCCCCUGACCUCGCUUCUGUGCGGCUGGAAUUUUCCCAAAUAAAAAGUCUAAAGCGAUAAAAAAGACAUGGACAGCGAGGUGACAAGGACCUCCAGGCCCUAUGGGUGAAUAGUAUUCUCUCCAUU
Molecule: RNA transcript, 2391 nt
Organism: Pteropus alecto (black flying fox)
Lineage: Eukaryota; Metazoa; Chordata; Mammalia; Chiroptera; Pteropodidae
Exons: 3
Source: RefSeq, a predicted model, not a curated record